GACGAACGCUGGCGGCGUGCUUAACACAUGCAAGUCGAACGGAAAGGCCCUGCUUUUGUGGGGUGCUCGAGUGGCGAACGGGUGAGUAACACGUGAGUAACCUGCCCUUGACUUUGGGAUAACUUCAGGAAACUGGGGCUAAUACCGGAUAGGAGCUCCUGCUGCAUGGUGGGGGUUGGAAAGUUUCGGCGGUUGGGGAUGGUCUCGCGGCUUAUCAGCUUGUUGGUGGGGUAGUGGCUUACCAAGGCUUUGACGGGUAGCCGGCCUGAGAGGGUGACCGGCCACCUUGGGCCUGAGAUACGGCCCAGACUCCUACGGGAGGCAGCAGUGGGGAAUAUUGCACAAUGGGCGGAAGCCUGAUGCAGCAACGCCGCGUGCGGGAUGACGGCCUUCGGGUUGUAAACCGCUUUCGCCUGUGACGAAGCGUGAGUGACGGUAAUGGGUAAAGAAGCACCGGCUAACUACGUG
Molecule: ribosomal RNA, 468 nt
Filed under: uncultured bacterium
Lineage: Bacteria
Description: partial 16S ribosomal RNA
Rfam family: Bacterial small subunit ribosomal RNA
Source: RNAcentral